Gorilla gorilla gorilla (western lowland gorilla) is the source of this 2515-nucleotide long non-coding RNA. RefSeq lists it as uncharacterized. The transcript has 7 exons. The record is from RefSeq and is a predicted model, not a curated record. Lineage: Eukaryota; Metazoa; Chordata; Mammalia; Primates; Hominidae.
GAGCCAAUGUCCUAUCUCAGGGUUUCCCACGUCGCUCGCUCCUUGACGGCUGACCGAGACUGGGUCUGAGGUGUAAGCGCUUUCCAGGCCCUUCCCUGGGGCUUGGAGGGGAAUGGCGCAAAGGACUUUUCUUACAAGCAGAGCCACUGCAGUUACCAAAGAGUAUGUCGCUUAUUGUCUAAGAGGCUGGACUCCUGAAAGCCUGGACAGUGUCAUCAUCUUCACCUGAAGAGUGGAAAAAUUCAAGCAAAGAGUUUUCUCAGGAAAUGACCAAGUAAAACAUCUGGAGUAAGUCAGCAGGAUUCAAAGUGACUCCCCCCAACCACCUGGUGGUGUUUCUCUCUGAAAGCAGCGCUUGGUACCAGUGUGAACUCUCUUCCUUCAGAAGUCUCAUCAGGUGGACGUAAUAUGAGGGUCUGGUCCCCCAUACCUUGAGGACUCUGCUGCCAUCUGACAAUUACGGACAAUCCAAUUGUCCUCAUCCUUGAGGACUCUGCUGCCAUCUGACAAUUAGAGACAGUCCAAAACAUGCCACACUUUGAUCCUAAACACAUUCCUGGCUUUGGUCACUUUUGAAAAGUUCCUGAGUUACGAGAAAUCAAUAAUAAGAGUGUUCAAAACCUGAACACUCUUUUUAGAAAUACCUGCUGGAACUACAUAUAUGAUUUACGGGGUACUGUCUUGUAGUAUCUGGGAAAGUAGACCCAUCUAACCUGGAAUGACCAUAGGCAACAAUGACCAAAAAUGGGGAUCUUUUGAUAUACCUAAAGUAAUUUAUUUGUGCACACCAGUGGAAAGAGCUGGUUUUAGAACCAGACAUGUAAAUAGGAGACUUACUUCCACUGGCACCUAAAAACUUCUAAAAGAAAUCCUGAAAGAAAAAGUCACCUUCAUUCAAGAGACCAUUUGGGCCUUCAUGAGUAACCAGCUGAGAAGCUGAGAUCAGAUAGAAAUGAAAUUCAUGGAAUAGGACCCUGACAAGUACUCUUGAAUACAGAUUUCUGAUAACUUUGGAGAUCAUAUCACUGGACUAAGUAACAACUUUCAGGAUAUAAUUGGAGACACUUGUUAUUUUACUAAGGAUUUGACUGGAAUGACAUAUUUUCAGAUAUGACCAGACUGCUUUGAAGAAUGGAGGUUGACUCUAUAGAGGCAAUUAAAAAGCCUCUUGGAAAGACUGGCCUGGUCCCUUGUCUACGUAGUUCCCUUUCAAGAUUUCUGUCCUGUGUUAAGUAAAGAAUGUCACUUUCUGACAGGCCUGGGAACCUCAAAAUAUUUCUGCUGUGUAUCUCUCAUCGUUUUAUUUCUUCUGAGAAAACUAAAUUCAUGGUACACUGAAGAGGUGAUUCCACAAGUGAUGGCAGCUAUAAAUCAAUGACUGCUAGGACUACCUGGGAAUGAGCCUUUCUGGCAAUGAGGGAUACCUUGACACUCAGAUUUUGAUCAUCAGUGCUUUCAAAAAGAAAGAUUUUUGAUCAAAAGGAAGAAAUGAGAAAAAGAACUUUUAUCUGAAGAAUGCAAGUCCUUUCCAUUAUCAGAUCCAGAGAGGUAUUAAAAUGAGACGGCAAUCCUGUCCUACACACACCCCCUUUUGAGCCACGUACUCAUCUUUUUAUACUGCUUACUAUUGCCACAAGUAGCUGAAAAUUAGCCUACUGGUGCUGCACCAGACAUUAUAACCCACAUCCUAUAGCUUAAUAAUGGAUAGCCAAUCAAUAGCUUAUGUUAUGUUAAUGUAAAUUAUUGGUAAAUAACUCAGGAACUGCCUCUUCUUUCCUUUUAAAAACCCCCUUGUGGGCUGGGCGUGGUGGCUCACGCCUGUAAUCCCAGCACUUUGGGAGGCCAAGGUGGGCGGAUCACAAGGUGAGGAGAUCAAGACCAUCCUGGAUAACACAGUGAAACCCUGUCUCUACUAAAAAUACAAAAAAUUAGCCGGGCGUGGUGGCGGGCACCUGUAGUCCCAGCUACUCGGGAAGCUGAGGCAGGAGAAUGGCGUGAACCCAGGAAGCAGAGCUUGCAGUGAGCUGACAUGGCACCACUGCACUUCAGCCCAGGCAACAGUGCGAGGCCCUGUCUCAAAAAAAAAAAAAAAAUCCACUUGUGGCUGAGUGUGGUGGCUCACACCUGUAAUCCCAGCACUUUGGGAGGCUGAGGUGGGCGGAUCACCUGAUGUCAGGAGUUCGAGAUCAGCUUGCCCAAUGUGGCGAAACCCUGUCUCUAUUAAAAAUACAACAAUUAGCCAGCUGUGGUGGUGGGUGCCUGUAAUCCCAGCUACUUGGGAGUCUGAGGCAGACUCAAGACUUCAAGAAUGUCUUGAACCCAGGAGGCAGAGGUUGCAGUGAGCCAAGAUCACACCAUUGCACUCCAGCAUGGGUGACAAGAGUGAAACUGCCUCCAAAAAAAAAAUCCACUUGUAACUGCUGCUACUCAGAAUGUAUAUUCACGGCAACUGGAAUCUAUGUUACUAAGUUGCAAUCCUCAAGCUUGUCCCAAAUAAACUCUCUACUUAUAUUAA